This 134-nucleotide non-coding RNA is filed under the name Streptomyces sp. The record is from RNAcentral. Lineage: Bacteria; Bacillati; Actinomycetota; Actinomycetes; Kitasatosporales; Streptomycetaceae.
CUCGCGUGCAGGCUAUGCUGCAACCCGUCCCACGGGGGAAGUCCGGUCGAAGUCCGGCGCUGACCCGCAACGGUAGACGGAGGCGCACACGCGGCUCCGUGAGCCCGAUUACCCGCGGCGACGAAGGCUCCUGU